UAAAACUAAAUUUGAGUUUUGUGCUAGAGAUGCCAUUAUCGUGACUCUUCUAAGGGACAGCCUUGGAAGUCCUGUGAUCAGCCCACCUGGGAUAAGGUUCCCUGCUUGUCUUUUCCCCUCUCACCAUUUUCUUAAUUGAAGUGGUUUGAACGUGUUUUUGUGACCAAAAGGGCCUAAGACAGACAUGAGUAGACUUGGUUUUUGUUUUGACUCUGGUGUUAACUAAGUUACAAUUUGUUGAAUUGGUCUAGAUCAGCAUUUUCCCCAAUGAUAUCCCUCAAAACACUAACUCUGCGGGAUGCUCUUUAAAGGGUUUCUUGCUGAAAUAAAUUUCAGAUAUAUGGCCAAUAAUUUUGGAGUAUCACUAGGCCUAGUAGCAUAAAAGGCUAUCAGAAUUUUACAUGAAAUAAAUGAAUUUAACUUGGUAUAACUGUGAGGUUUCCUUAAUCUAUCCUGCCACAAAAUCAUUACCAGUACUAUGCUGUGCCUCUAGAGUUCCGAGGAAUACUUGGAAAAUGCUGGGUUAGCUAAUAUCUAGGUCUCUAGUUCUAACUCUGAAAGUUUGACUGCAAUGACAAAAUGUGUCAGAAAAUCAGAGUUCUUUUUUUUUCAUGUGAAAGCUGCUUUCCCUCUUGUGUCUUCCUCUGCUUAAUAAUUGAUACUGUCUCAUCUUAAUGGGAAAAUUCUUUUCUGGCUCCCAAACUUCAGACUGGAUGUGAAUUUUUGUUGCAAUAAUUUCUAAUGAGGACUAGAGAAAAUUAGGGUUGGCUUUGUCAAGGCAGAUGAAAGUAGAUUUGUAGGAAGAUAAGUGCAACAUUGUGGUAUUAGAUAAUUAAUUUAGAAGAAUGAGAUUUUGGAGUCAUCCAAAAUAGAGAUUAAAAUUUAAGCCAGGGGAGUCAUCGUGGAAAUAGAAAAUGGAAGGAUGAAGUUACUUCUUAUAAACUGGGAGGAUUUUUACUCUUCAUAACAAACAUUUAGCAUCUUGGGGCUUUUGGUUUAUGGCCACUAACUGGGUCACUCUCAGUAAAUCAUAUUCCUCUGUGGGCCACAGCUCCUUUAUGUGCAAAAUGAGAGUGUUUCACGAAAUGGUUCCUUCUGUUCUAAGUCAGUGAUCCCUAUGAAAUGUGCUUAAAAGCCUUCUGUGUUUUGUAUACUAUUGGUCUGUGGAGAAACACAGUCAAAAAGACUUUCCUUCUUAAAUGUAUUUAUAUUCCCAAUAAUCAAUCUGGCUUAAAAUAUGGGGUGGAAUUUUCCUGAAGAUAUUGGUAAUGUUCUUGGUGGAAAUAACAUAGUGUUGGGAAAGGAAUUAGUGACAAGCAACUUAGAAUUAAGGGGAAGAUAUAGUAAAACUCUAAAAAUUAUUUUUUCUUUCUAGUAUAGAAAUGCACAAAUAAAUUUGAGGUAAUUAUUAGAAUCAGAGUAAUACAGAAAAAAUGCUGAAUGUAAUUAAUUUUGAUUAUUUCAAUAGAUUAUUGAAAGCAGAAAACACAGAUAUAGGCAAUAGUAGUGAAAGAACAUAGACUCUGGGACAAGUAGAGCAUUUGAGGUAGCUCUCUACAUGGUGGAAAAGACCUUAAGGGCAGGCUGGGACAUCAUUUCAGAUUUUUAUUUUCAAUUCCCAGCAUGUUCUUUUGCUAACCUUUUUCUUUUUAAUUACAUUCUCAUUUCAUCCAAGCCAACAGCUUCAGAAUUACCGUGCUUUUUGUUUCAUGCAGUCGGUUUGCAAAUAGAGCAUGUCUGGGUUCCUCUGUGGCAAAGAGAAUUAAAAAAAAAAGUUAACUUUGAUUCUGUGACAAAAUGUCUGUAAACACAACAAAACUUAGUCAUGGUCCCACACAGAGUGGCUUUAUUAAGCUGUCUGGUCCUGACUUCUCCCAAAGUAAAGCUUUAAAACUCCUUAAACGUAUUUACUAGCCUUAAGCAAUCAAUGGUAAAUGACCUUAAUGUUUACUUCUAGUGAAGAACACUUCACAUCUUAAGGAUACAAAAGUAGUCCAAGCAUUCAAUGGUUAAAUAGAGCAAACAAUUUUUUAUUUAUCACCUCGGGCCUGAAAAACUGUUGCAUACAGCAGUCAUAAGCAGUGUCCACUUUUAAUACGGUAUUUGCAACUCAAAUGUUUUCUUCUUCAAUUUUAAUCUGCAAUUGCAAAUUCCAUAGUCCCUUUUGUUUGCAUAUCCUCAGGGUUUUGUUCUGCCAAAUCGUUGGCUCACCACUUUCCAUGGUAAUUUAUAGAACCCGGUUCACUUUGUGUCACUACAGGUUAUAAAUGAAAAUGAACCUUUUUAUAAGGCCUUAAAACUUAUCCCUUCCUAGGAAAUAGAAUGGGCAUCAUCCUGUAUUUUGGAAGAGAAACAGGUGUAGUUACUGUAUGGCUGUCCAGGUAGACAGAAGAACUCAAAAUGU
RNAcentral lists this long non-coding RNA (2404 nucleotides) under Homo sapiens (human). Its description in RNAcentral is "HSALNT0210359". The record is from RNAcentral. Lineage: Eukaryota; Metazoa; Chordata; Mammalia; Primates; Hominidae.